Molecule: ribosomal RNA, 519 nt
Filed under: Lerista kennedyensis
Lineage: Eukaryota; Metazoa; Chordata; Lepidosauria; Squamata; Scincidae
Description: partial 16S ribosomal RNA
Rfam family: Bacterial large subunit ribosomal RNA
Source: RNAcentral
UAGCCUUUAGCGACACAAGUAUUAAAGGUCUUGCCUGCCCAGUGAAACUUCUCUUUUCAACGGCCGCGGUAUUCUAACCGUGCAAAGGUAGCGUAAUCACUUGUCUUCCAAAUAAAGACCAGUAUGAACGGCUAAAUGAGGACAGACCUGUCUCCUACACCCAAUCAGUGAAACUGAUCUCCCAGUCCAAAAGCUGGAAUAUCAACAUUAGACGAGAAGACCCUGUGGAGCUUAAAACCCACCCAGUAACUACAAACUGACCAAAGUUUUAAGUUGGGGCGACUUCGGAACAAAACAAAACCUCCGAGCACAGAACCACCAAUUCUUACCAAGGCAAACAGGCCAAAGCAACAAUUGACCCAGUAAAACUGAUCAACGAACCAAGUUACCCCAGGGAUAACAGCGCCAUCCUCUUCAAGAGUCCAUAUCGACAAGAGGGUUUACGACCUCGAUGUUGGAUCAGGGCACCCAAAUGGUGCAGCCGCUAUUAAAGGUUCGUUUGUUCAACGAUUAACAGCC